This 425-nucleotide ribosomal RNA is filed under the name uncultured bacterium. RNAcentral describes it as "partial 16S ribosomal RNA". It matches the Rfam family "Bacterial small subunit ribosomal RNA", at positions 354 to 796 of the family's 1533-position model. The record is from RNAcentral.
GUGGGGAAUAUUGGGCAAUGGGGGAAACCCUGACCCAGCAACGCCGCGUGAAAGAAGAAGGUUUUCGGAUCGUAAACUUCUAUCCUUGGUGAAGAUAAUGACGGUAGCCAAGAAGGAAGCCCCGGCUAACUACGUGCCAGCAGCCGCGGUAAUACGUAGGGGGCAAGCGUUGUACGGAAUGAUUGGGCGUAAAGGGCGCGUAGGCGGCCUGGUAAGUCUGGAGUGAAAGUCCUGCUUUUAAGGUGGGAAUUGCUUUGGAUACUGUCGGGCUUGAGUGCAGGAGAGGUAAGCGGAAUUCCCGGUGUAGCGGUGAAAUGCGUAGAGAUCGGGAGGAACACCAGUGGCGAAGGCGGCUUACUGGACUGUAACUGACGCUGAGGCGCGAAAGUGUGGGGAGCAAACAGGAUUAGAAACCCCAGUAGUCC